Molecule: ribosomal RNA, 1107 nt
Filed under: uncultured Termite group 1 bacterium
Lineage: Bacteria; Pseudomonadati; Elusimicrobiota
Description: bacterial SSU rRNA
Rfam family: Bacterial small subunit ribosomal RNA
Source: RNAcentral
AAUGCGUUUUGAGAUGGUCCUGCGGCCUAUCAGCUAGUUGGUGGGAUAGUAGCCUACCAAGGCAGUGACGGGUAUCCGGCCUGAAAGGGUGAACGGACACACUGGAACUGAGACACGGUCCAGACUCCUACGGGAGGCAGCAGUGGGGAAUUUUGGACAAUGGGGGAAACCCUGAUCCAGCGACGCCGCGUGGAGGAUGAAGGCCUUCGGGUUGUAAACUCCUUUUAGAGGGGAAGAAAAAAAUGACGGUACCCUCAGAAAAAGCCACGGCUAACUACGUGCCAGCAGCCGCGGUAAUACGUAGGUGGCGAGCGUUACUCGGAAUUACUAGGCGUAAAGCGUAUGUAGACGGUCAUAUAAGUCUUUAGUGAAAUUCCUCGGCUUAACCGAGAAAGGUCUAAGGAUACUGUUUGGCUUGAGUGUGAGAGGGGGAGAUGGAAUUCCUGGUGUAGCGGUAAAAUGCGUAGAUAUCAGGAGGAACACCGAUGGCGAAAGCAGUCUCCUGGCUCAAUACUGACGUUAAUAUACGAAAGCUAGGGUAGCAAACAGGAUUAGAUACCCUGGUAGUCCUAGCUGUAAACGAUGUUCACUAGAUGUGGGAGGUAUCGACCCCUUCUGCGUCGACGCUAACGCAUUAAGUGAACCGCCUGAGGGGUACGACCGCAAGGUUGAAACUCAAAGGAAUUGACGGGGGCCCGCACAAGCGGUGGAGUAUGUGGUUUAAUUCGACGCAACGCGAAAAACCUUACCUGGGCUUGAACUGCUAAUGGUAAAAGUCGGAAACGGCAAUGACCCGCAAGGGAGUUAGCAGAGGUGCUGCAUGGCUGUCGUCAGCUCGUGUCGUGAGAUGUUGGGUUAAGUCCCGCAACGAGCGCAACCCUUAUCCCAUGUUACCUGUAGCAAUACGGGGUCUCUGAGGAAACUGCCAUUGAUAAAAUGGAGGAAGGUGGGGAUGAUGUCAAGUCAUCAUGGCCUUUAUGUCCAGGGCUACACACGUACUACAAUGGUCGGUACAGAGGGCAGCGAUAUCGCAAGGUGGAGCAAAUCCCUAAAAGCCGGCCUCAGUUCAGAUUGUGGGCUGCAAUUCGCCCACAUGAAGUAGGAAUC